This 254-nucleotide ribosomal RNA is filed under the name uncultured bacterium. RNAcentral's name for it is "partial 16S ribosomal RNA". It matches the Rfam family "Bacterial small subunit ribosomal RNA", at positions 524 to 776 of the family's 1533-position model. The record is from RNAcentral.
UACGUAGGGUCCGAGCGUUGUCCGGAAUUACUGGGCGUAAAGAGCUCGUAGGUGGUUUGUCGCGUUGUCCGUGAAAACUCACAGCUCAACUGUGGGCGUGCGGGCGAUACGGGCAGACUGGAGUACUGCAGGGGGAGACUGGAAUUCCUGGUGUAGCGGUGGAAUGCGCAGAUAUCAGGAGGAACACCGAUGGCGAAGGCAGGUCUCUGGGCCGCAACUGACGCUGAGGAGCGAAAGCAUGGGGAGCGAACAGG